RNAcentral lists this ribosomal RNA (384 nucleotides) under uncultured bacterium. Its description in RNAcentral is "bacterial SSU rRNA". It matches the Rfam family "Bacterial small subunit ribosomal RNA", at positions 32 to 426 of the family's 1533-position model. The record is from RNAcentral.
AAUCAACGCUGGCGGCGUGCCUAACACAUGCAAGUCGCACGAGAAAGGGACUUCGGUCCUGAGUACAGUGGCGCACGGGUGAGUAACACGUGAAUCAUCUACCUUCGAGUGGGGAAUAACUGAGAGAAAUCUUAGCUAAUACCGCAUAAUACCUACGGGUCAAAGCAGCAAUGCGCUUGAAGAGGAGUUCGCGGCAGAUUAGUUAGUUGGCAGGGUAAUGGCCUACCAAGACGAUGAUCUGUAUCCGGCCUGAGAGGGCGCACGGACACACUGGAACUGAAACACGGUCCAGACUCCUACGGGAGGCAGCAGUGGGGAAUUUUGCGCAAUGGGGGAAACCCUGACGCAGCAACGCCGCGUGGAGGAUGAAAUCCCUUGGGAUGU